This 45-nucleotide non-coding RNA is filed under the name Schistosoma mansoni. Lineage: Eukaryota; Metazoa; Platyhelminthes; Trematoda; Strigeidida; Schistosomatidae. The record is from RNAcentral.
AUCCAGCUGACGAGUCCUAAAUGGUACGAAACCAGUGUCCUGGAU